GAUGAACGCUGGCGGCGUGCCUAAUACAUGCAAGUCGAGCGAACAGACGAGGAGCUUGCUCCUCUGACGUUAGCGGCGGACGGGUGAGUAACACGUGGAUAACCUACCUAUAAGACUGGGAUAACUUCGGGAAACCGGAGCUAAUACCGGAUAAUAUAUUGAACCGCAUGGUUCAAUAGUGAAAGACGGUUUUGCUGUCACUUUAGAUGGAUCCGCGCCGCAUUAGCUAGUUGGUAAGGUAACGGCUUACCAAGGCAACGAUGCGUAGCCGACCUGAGAGGGUGAUCGGCCACACUGGAACUGAGACACGGUCCAGACUCCUACGGGAGGCAGCAGUAGGGAAUCUUCCGCAAUGGGCGAAAGCCUGACGGAGCAACGCCGCGUGAGUGAUGAAGGUCUUCGGAUCAUAAAACUCUGUUAUUAGGGAAGAACAAAUGUGUAAGUAACUAUGCACGUCUUGACGGUACCUAAUCAGAAAGCCACGGCUAACUACGUG
This 496-nucleotide ribosomal RNA is filed under the name uncultured bacterium. Its description in RNAcentral is "partial 16S ribosomal RNA". It matches the Rfam family "Bacterial small subunit ribosomal RNA", at positions 28 to 507 of the family's 1533-position model. The record is from RNAcentral.